Molecule: long non-coding RNA, 1471 nt
Filed under: Oryctolagus cuniculus (rabbit)
Lineage: Eukaryota; Metazoa; Chordata; Mammalia; Lagomorpha; Leporidae
Description: lncRNA (ENSOCUG00000036963.1)
Source: RNAcentral
GAGAAAAAUCUUACUUUUUACUGCAAAAUUAAAAAUGGUAAAACAGAAGAAAUAGAUAAAAAUAUUAGCCUCACCAAGGAAAAUAUUCAAAGGCAAGCUAACAUAUGAAAGAUGCUCUUGGGGCUGGUGUUGUGGCAUAGUGCUGGUAAAGCCACUGGCUGCAUUGCCAGUUUCCCAUAGGGGUACUAAUUUGAGUCCCGGCUACUCCACUUUGGGUGCAGCUCCCUGCUAAUGGCCUGCAAAAAACAAUGGAAGAUGGCCCAAGUAUUUGGGCCUCUGCCAAUCAUAUGAGAGAUACAGAUGAAGUUCCUGGCUUUGGCUUGGCUCAGCCCCGGCUAUUGUGGCCAUCUGGGGAAUGAACCAGAGGUUGGAAAGUUUCUCCCUGUCUCUCUGAAUUUGUUUCUGUAACUGACCUUCAAAUAAAUAAAUCUUACCACGUUAAAAAAAAAAUUAGGCUUUUGUAUUAACUUCUUGGAUAAUAUAAAAUUGAAAAAGAAUCAGAGAUUGCUUUGCCUUUUUUCCUUCAAGUUUUAAUUUUUUAAAAUUUUAUUUUAUUUUAUUGAAAGGCACUUUCAGCCCCAGCCAGGGGCCAUUGCUGGCAUGUGGGGAGUGAACCAGCAAUAGGAGUUCUCUCUCAUUUUUUUUUCACUUUCUCCUCUCAAAUAAAUUUAAAAAAUUAAAAGGAGUACAGCUCAGUGGACAUAACAAUGUUUCAGAGAUUUGAGAAGAAUAUAGUCUUUGGGAAGGAGCUAGAUUUCAGCCAUUAUUUAUGAGCCACUCAAUAAUGACACAGAGGAACUCCGAAUAACUUCAGUAUCCAUCAUUAUUUUCUUUGAAGGAGGUUCAUCUUCUGGGGAAACAAACUCCCUGAAAUGUGGUGCUUUCUGUUUUAUUUCACCAGAUGGGUGGAAGGGUGGUCCACAUCAACUUUGUGCAGCUUUCCAAACAAGAUCAGAGAAUGAAGGAGAUUGCUUUAUUAGCUGCUGCUUAUGGACUCAUAAAGACCACUUUGUGAGGCUCCAUUGUUCCACCUCCACAGUUUACCACAGGACCUGGAGAAAGAAACAAGAGAUCAAGAAAAAGAGAGGAAUGAUUAUUCAUGUAUUUUCAACGUGGUAAGUUCUGGCAAAAUGGAAAUACAUUGAUUUGUGAAAGUGGAUUCCUGUUAUAUUUUAGCAGUCUAAUGGAGUUUGCUUUAUCAUGAGUGCUUUUGGUACUUGCUGUACUUGAUCUAAUCAGGAAUGAAGUCUUUAAACUGGCUUUACAAACCCAUGACACAAUAGUUAGUUGGCAACUGAGAUUACACUUAAUUAGCAUAAGUGGAAAAUUUACCAUUUUUUUCAUUCCCUUUCCUGCCCAAGUUUUUCCUACCAUUUUAUUUUUGGAACUUUUUCUCAGGAAAGUGUCUCUGCUUUCUUGUACUCCUUUCCUCACUUCCUAGUUCUGGGCAAUAAAAAAGUGAAUAAACACA